Molecule: small RNA, 141 nt
Filed under: Paenibacillus antarcticus
Lineage: Bacteria; Bacillati; Bacillota; Bacilli; Caryophanales; Paenibacillaceae
Description: c-di-AMP sequence
Rfam family: c-di-AMP riboswitch aptamer (ydaO/yuaA leader)
About the family: This family represents a conserved RNA structure found upstream of the ydaO and yuaA genes in Bacillus subtilis and related genes in other bacteria.
Source: Rfam by way of RNAcentral
UUCAAUAAUGCGCCGAAUUUUCAUAAGAAAUAUGGGGGAACCAUUUUUUAUGGGGUGAAUUUCGUUGUUUAUUCAACGAAUAGGGUAACCUGUGCAUACCCGAAUCCGUCAGCUAACCUCGUAGGCGAUAUGCUAGCAGGA